GACGAACGCUGGCGGCGUGCUUAACACAUGCAAGUCGAACGGAAAGGCCCUGCUUUUGUGGGGUGCUCGAGUGGCGAACGGGUGAGUAACACGUGAGUAACCUGCCCUUGACUUUGGGAUAACUUCAGGAAACUGGGGCUAAUACCGGAUAGGAGCUCCUGCUGCAUGGUGGGGGUUGGAAAGUUUCGGCGGUUGGGGAUGGACUCGCGGCUUAUCAGCUUGUUGGUGGGGUAGUGGCUUACCAAGGCUUUGACGGGUAGCCGGCCUGAGAGGGUGACCGGCCACAUUGGGACUGAGAUACGGCCCAGACUCCUACGGGAGGCAGCAGUGGGGAAUAUUGCACAAUGGGCGGAAGCCUGAUGCAGCAACGCCGCGUGCGGGAUGACGGCCUUGGGUUGUAAACCGCUUUCGCCUGUGACGAAGCGUGAGUGACGGUAAUGGGUAAAGAAGCACCGGCUAACUACGUG
This 467-nucleotide ribosomal RNA is filed under the name uncultured bacterium. RNAcentral describes it as "partial 16S ribosomal RNA". It matches the Rfam family "Bacterial small subunit ribosomal RNA", at positions 28 to 507 of the family's 1533-position model. The record is from RNAcentral.